UAGCAGAACCCAUAUAAAGCGCAUCCCCGGAGAUACGCCUUUCACACGUGGCAUCCGACUUAGCAUAAACCCAAGUAAAGCGCUUCCCUGGGGAUGCGCCUUUGUGUCACCUCACCCGAAAGGGUGCUACUUCAGGAAAUAUUGGUCAACGGGUGUUAGAACGGGAGAAUUUAAAAAAAAAACGGGUCAAUUAGGUCAAUCAGCCCUUGCAGCUAGAUGGGAGCCUUUCUGCUUAGUGGAGGAACCAAAGGAAAACGAUACAGUUUACCUAAUUCAAGGAUAAUGAUGCAUCAACCUCUUGGUGGAGCUCAAGGAGGUCAAACUGAUAUCGACAUUCAGGUGUGGUUUUUUUCUCUGUAA
Long non-coding RNA from Hibiscus syriacus, 360 nucleotides. RefSeq lists it as uncharacterized. The record is from RefSeq and is a predicted model, not a curated record. The transcript is spliced from 3 exons. Lineage: Eukaryota; Viridiplantae; Streptophyta; Magnoliopsida; Malvales; Malvaceae.